RNAcentral lists this ribosomal RNA (253 nucleotides) under uncultured bacterium. Its description in RNAcentral is "partial 16S ribosomal RNA". It matches the Rfam family "Bacterial small subunit ribosomal RNA", at positions 524 to 776 of the family's 1533-position model. The record is from RNAcentral.
UACAGAGGGUGCAAGCGUUGUUCGGAAUUACUGGGCGUAAAGCGUGCGCAGGCGGUUUUGUAAGUCUGACGUGAAAGCCCCGGGCUUAACCUGGGAAUUGCGUUGGAGACUGCAAGGCUUGAAUCUGGCAGAGGGGGGUAGAACUCCACGUGUAGCAGUGAAAUGCGUAGAGAUGUGGAGGAACACCGAUGGCGAAGGCAGCCCCCUGGGUCAAGAUUGACGCUCAUGCACGAAAGCGUGGGGAGCAAACAGG